UACGUAGGUGACAAGCGUUGUCCGGAUUUACUGGGCGUAAAGAGCGCGCAGGCGGUCGAUCAAGUCGAGUGUGAAAGCCCCCGGCUCAACUGGGGAGGGUCAUUCGAUACUGAUCGACUCGAAGGCAGGAGAGGGUAGUGGAAUUCCCGGUGUAGUGGUGAAAUGCGUAGAUAUCGGGAGGAACACCAGUGGCGAAGGCGGCUUUCUGGUCUGCUCUUGACGCUGAGGCGCGAAAGCUAGGGUAGCAAACGGG
This 253-nucleotide ribosomal RNA is filed under the name uncultured bacterium. RNAcentral's name for it is "partial 16S ribosomal RNA". It matches the Rfam family "Bacterial small subunit ribosomal RNA", at positions 524 to 776 of the family's 1533-position model. The record is from RNAcentral.